UUGCCUCAGCAUUAAAUAAGUUGCCAUGGC
This 30-nucleotide non-coding RNA is filed under the name Rattus norvegicus (Norway rat). Lineage: Eukaryota; Metazoa; Chordata; Mammalia; Rodentia; Muridae. The record is from RNAcentral.